UUCCGGUUGAUCCCGCCGGACCCCACUGCUAUCGAGGUGGGACUAAGCCAUGCUAGUUGAGCGCACAGAACUAUGUCUGUGAGCGGCACACUGCUCAGUAACACGUAGCUAACCUACCCUUAGGACGUGGACAACCCCGAGAAAUUGGGGCUAAUCCGCGAUAGAUGUAAUGUCCUGGAAUGGUAUUACGUCCAAAGGUAUCCCAUACAUGUUUGGUAUACGCCUAAGGAUGGGGCUGCGGCCGAUCAGGCUGUUGGUGAGGUAAUGGCUCACCAAACCUUUGACCGGUACGGGCCAUGAGAGUGGUAGCCCGGAGAUGGACACUGAGACAAGGGUCCAGGCCCUACGGGGCGCAGCAGGCGCGAAACCUCCUCAAUGCACUUACGUGCGAAGGGGCUACCUCGAGUGCCACCUGAUGAAGGUGGCUUUUCCUAGGUCUAAAAAGCCUUGGGAAUAAGAGGGGGGCAAGACUGGUGUCAGCCGCCGCGGUAACACCAGCCCCUCGAGUGGUGGGGAUGAUUAUUGGGCCUAAAGCGUCCGUAGCCUGCCGUGUAAGUUUCCCGUUAAAUCCAGCGUCUUAAGCGUUGGACUGCGGGAAAUAC
Molecule: ribosomal RNA, 602 nt
Filed under: uncultured archaeon
Lineage: Archaea
Description: bacterial SSU rRNA
Rfam family: Archaeal small subunit ribosomal RNA
Source: RNAcentral